This 433-nucleotide ribosomal RNA is filed under the name uncultured bacterium. RNAcentral's name for it is "partial 16S ribosomal RNA". It matches the Rfam family "Bacterial small subunit ribosomal RNA", at positions 29 to 507 of the family's 1533-position model. The record is from RNAcentral.
AACGAACGCUGGCGGCAUGCCUAGCACAUGCAAGUCGAACGAGACCUUCGGGUCUAGUGGCGCAUGGGUGUGUCACGCGUGGGAACCUGCCCUUAGGUACCGAAUAACUCUCCGACAGGGGUGCUAAUGCCGGAUAAUGUCUACUGACACAAGAUUUAUCGCGUUUGGAUGGGCACGCGUUGGAUUAGCUUGUUGGUAGGGUAAAAGCCUACCACGGCGAAGAUCCAUAGCUGGUUUGAGAGGAUGAUCAGCCACACUGGGAGUGGGACACGGCCCAGACUCCUACGGGAGGCAGGAGUGGGGAAUAUUGGAAAAUGGGGGGAGGCCUGAUCGAGCUAGGCUGCGAGAGUGAUGAAGUUAGUAGAGUUGUAAAGCUCUUUUACCCGGGAUGGUAAUGACAGUACCGGGAGAAUAAGCACCGGCUAACUCCGUG